AACUUUUAUAACAUGGAUUUUAGUCUUUUAUGUUAAUCUUUUGUUUCUCAUACUAUUAUAUUUUUAACUUAUGAUUCUUUGUAUCUUUAUUUUAAAUUAUUUAUUUUAUCUAUAAUUUUAGUGCCCAAUCAUUUGUCUUUAUUGAGACUUAAUCAUCAUGUUUAGAUAUUUUUCCUUUUCAUUUAUUCCUGCAUCUCAGAUUUUUGUAGUAAUCUCCUCAUAAUACUUUACAGUAACAAGUAGGAACACUUCCAUGAAGAGAGCCCUCACUCAAAACGGCUGAACAAAAUAAAGGGUUUGGGGGGUGGAAUAUAUUAACUCACAUUACUGAAAAUGACAACUUGUAGGCUUGGUUUUAGACGUGGCUAAAUUAAAAGUUUUGAAAACUCAUCACAAUCCCGUUCUCUCCAUGCUUCCUCUGUAAUGCUGCAUUCUAGAGAGGCUCACCAGCACUACCUACAGGGCGGCGGAGUUCCAACCUACUACAUCCUUUCUCAUUCAAGUUCCUCAAAAGAGAGAGGCACUUCUCCUUCUGGGUCAGUCCUACCUAAGAAACAAGGAUUCACCUGAAGCCAGAAGCAACCAAUGUGACCAGGUGUGCGGAGAAACACGGCUUCUGCUGGAGAUGGAAAAAGGACUCUGGGGAAGACAAGAUGCCUCGUGUCAAAGCAACAAGGUUCCAGUGAAGAGCUGCAAGCCUCAGAGGCAGGUAGGCAGAGCCAUUUCUUGGUCCGAACAUCUUUCUUCUUCGGUCCCCAGCAAAUUAUCACAGUGAACUGUCAGCAUUUUCCCCACAUCCUCCAGAAGCAGCCUCUGGAUCCUAAACACAAUUCUUCCUUUGAUUGUUUUGAUGACAGUGCAACAGCAAAAUGCUGUGGCAAUCAAAACUGCCUGAAAACAGCAGAUUAGCCGUUCCAAGUUUUAAUUGAGUUAAUCAAAGAACUGUCAGCACAGAUGCUGUCCAUGGUUCUCCUAGAGAUGAGAUCUUGAUGCUGUGUCCUUGAGACUUCUCAUUUAGAGGGCCUCUUCCACACAGAACUGUGGGAUAUUCACAGGAGUAACUUCUACAUGUAGUGAGGUCGAGGAUGAGGAUAGCAAUGAAGAUGCGCCAGACACUUAAAAACACUAUCUCAUUUAAUUUUCCAAAGAGUCCAGCCAGACACAUACCAAUGUCCCCAUUUUGCAAACGAAAUUGAGGCUCAGAGAAGUUUUAUGGUCACUCAGCUAGGAAAAGCUAGAAUUAGAGUUGGGGCGUAUGUCUAAUCUUCUUAGUCUUCACAAUCUUUGCCUUUGUUCACCCCUCCUCAUUGUUUCCUCCCAUGUGCAAUGUGCCUAAUACUCUUCUCAAGAGCAAACAUGCUUGGUUCGCAGCUUGGGCCUUGGCCUUUCUUUUCUGAGCUUGAAUCAUAG
This 1410-nucleotide long non-coding RNA is filed under the name Macaca mulatta (Rhesus monkey). RNAcentral describes it as "lncRNA (ENSMMUG00000059895.1)". The record is from RNAcentral. Lineage: Eukaryota; Metazoa; Chordata; Mammalia; Primates; Cercopithecidae.